Molecule: unclassified non-coding RNA, 329 nt
Filed under: soil metagenome
Description: partial contains 5.8S ribosomal RNA, internal transcribed spacer 2, and large subunit ribosomal RNA
Rfam family: 5.8S ribosomal RNA (bases 1-120)
Source: RNAcentral
GAUGAAGAACGUAGCGAAAUGCGAUAAGUAGUGUGAAUUGCAGAAUUCUGUGAAUCAUCGAAUCUUUGAACGCACAUUGCGCCCCUUGGUAUCCCGAGGGGCAUGCCUGUUCGAGCGUCAUUUCACCACUCAAGCCUGGCUUGGUGUUGGGCGACGUCCCCUUUAGGGACGCGCCUCGAAACGCUCGGCGGCGCGGCACCGGCUUUAAGCGUAGCAGAAUCUUUCGCUUUGGAAGUCGGGGCCCCGCCUGCCGGAAUACCUACUUGUAAGGUUGACCUCGGAUCAGGCAGGGAUACCCGCUGAACUUAAGCAUAUCAAUAAGCGGAGGA